GACGAACGCUGGCGGCGUGCUUAACACAUGCAAGUCGAACGGGAAGGCUCUUCGUUUGUGGGGUGGACGAGUGGCGAACGGGUGAGUAACAGGCGAGUAACCUGCCCUUGACCUUGGGAUAUCUACCGGAAACUGGGGCUAAUAGCGGAUAGGAGCUCCUGCUGCACGAUGGGGGUGGGCAAGUUUCGGCGGUUGGGGAGGGACUCGCGGCUUAUCAGAUUGGUGGUGGGGUAGUGGUUUAGCAAGGCUGUGACGGGUAGCGGGGCUGGGAGGGUGACCGGCCACAUUAGGACUGGGAUACGGCCCAGACCCCUACGGGAGGGAGCGGUGGGGAAUCGUGCACUGUGGGCGGGAGGCUGAUGCAGCAACGCCGCGUGCGGGAUGAGGGCCUUCGGGUUGUAAACCGCUUUUGCCUGUGACGAGGCGUGAGUGACGGUAAUGGGUGAAGAAGCCCCGGCUAACUUCGUG
RNAcentral lists this ribosomal RNA (468 nucleotides) under uncultured bacterium. Its description in RNAcentral is "partial 16S ribosomal RNA". It matches the Rfam family "Bacterial small subunit ribosomal RNA", at positions 28 to 507 of the family's 1533-position model. The record is from RNAcentral.